AAUCCCACAUGAAUUCAUUGAUUCAAUGACCUCGAUUUACAUAAUUUUGUGAUAGACAAUAGAUUACAAACAGCUAACAAGUACUUCAACGACAAAGAGGGAAAGAAAGCAAACACAACAUGAACAGACUUGACGCGAGCAGAACAACAACAACCGAAUUCUUGAGGACCUGACCAUCAAACAGCGUACUUGUCGGCUAGCUCGUACCAAUGUAAACCACACUACCUAUCGCACAAACGCUGCAUAGUUGUCUCCCUCCAUUGCGCACAUCAAGGGCAGAAAUCCUUGAAGGGAUGAGGGACCAGCCAACUAAGGGGGGUUAAGAGUGAAGAAGCACAUCAAUUGAAACUUGCCAAAGAACAACCAUCUCCCUUGAAAUUGACGACGAGCACCCCAUAAACAUCACAUCCAAGCAUCAUAAAUCGUCAUCCAACUCCCUUAAAGGGAGGACACCUCUAAGUAGAGAGGGCAAGAUCAUAGGUCCACCUGGCAUAAGAAUGAUGUCAUCACCAAUAGGAGACGUAUGACGAAGCAAAGGUGUGACGAAGCAAAGGUUUGAAUGGCCACGCAACAGCCACAUCUAAUAUCGUCUGCAAGGCCAAGGCCAACAAAGAAGACAACAAAUAGGCAACCAUAAGGCGAGCAGGGACGAUAUAGGGCACCUCCCGACGCAUCGGGCGUGACGUUUUCACUGCACAAAUAUCACAUUUGCACAUAUUCCAGAUGACCUCGAGAACCGCCACCCGGCGCAUCGGGCGUGACGUUUUCACUGCACAAAUAUCACAUUUGCACAUAUUCCAGAUGACCUCGAGAACCGCCACUAAGAUCGGCUAGACAGAGGAGACACAGGCAUCCCGACUUUGCCUGCAAUAAGGACUAGAAGUGCCAUCAAGUUGAUGCUUGUAGAAAGCCAAGCAAGGCUUUCGCCCAAACCAACAUGGUUGUUGCUACAUGACCACCCGAACCUAAGGACACAAGGGUCGACGCAGCGGUCUGGGUGGUCGGAGGGCAAGGAUUCGGCGAAACAAUCAUAGAGAUCUUACCGGAGGUCAAGGGAAAAAGAACCUCUAUGGAGAAGACAGGGAACGGAGACAACAACUACAGUGGAGCACCGGUGGCAUAGGUCUAUUGCCGUAGGGAAGAACACAAAAGGUGGAGGGUAGGGGCUAGCAAGGUCUAGGCACAACCAUAAAACCGAAACCGAUGCGCGCAGAAGGUCCCUGCG
Molecule: long non-coding RNA, 1225 nt
Filed under: Zea mays
Lineage: Eukaryota; Viridiplantae; Streptophyta; Magnoliopsida; Poales; Poaceae
Description: long non-coding RNA (ZMAY_LNC005078)
Source: RNAcentral